This 253-nucleotide ribosomal RNA is filed under the name uncultured bacterium. RNAcentral describes it as "partial 16S ribosomal RNA". It matches the Rfam family "Bacterial small subunit ribosomal RNA", at positions 524 to 776 of the family's 1533-position model. The record is from RNAcentral.
UACGGAGGGUGCAAGCGUUAUCCGGAUUCACUGGGCGUAAAGGGUGCGUAGGUGGUGAGGUAAGUUUGAUGUGAAAUCUCCGGGCUCAACCCGGAAAUGGCAUUGAAUACUAUCUUGCUAGAGGAGUGGAGGGGGGACUGGAAUACUUGGUGUAGCAGUGAAAUGCGUAGAUAUCAAGUGGAACACCAGUGGCGAAGGCGAGUCCCUGGACACUUCCUGACACUGAGGCACGAAAGCUAGGGGAGCAAACAGG